This 383-nucleotide ribosomal RNA is filed under the name uncultured eukaryote. Its description in RNAcentral is "partial 18S ribosomal RNA". It matches the Rfam family "Eukaryotic small subunit ribosomal RNA", at positions 592 to 976 of the family's 1831-position model. The record is from RNAcentral.
CAAUAGCGUCUAUUAAAGUUGUUGCAGUUCAAAAGCUCGUAGUUGGAUUUCUGGUGGGAGCGAUCGGUCUGGCGCUUAGCGCGAGUACUUGCAUCGUCUCCGGCCAUCCUUGGGGAGAGUCUGUCUGGCAUUAGGUUGUCGGGCAGAGGAUCCUCAUCGUUUACUGUGAAAAAAUUAGAGUGUUCAAAGCAGGCUUAUGCCGUUGAAUAUAUUAGCAUGGAAUAAUAAGAUAGGACUUUGGUACUAUUUUGUUGGUUUGCGCACCAAAGUAAUGAUUAAUAGGGACAGUUGGGGGUAUUCGUAUUCCGUUGUCAGAGGUGAAAUUCUUGGAUUUACGGAAGACGAACUACUGCGAAAGCAUUUACCAAGGAUGUUUUCAUUAA